This 86-nucleotide transfer RNA is filed under the name Planctomycetota bacterium. RNAcentral describes it as "Planctomycetes bacterium (freshwater metagenome) tRNA-Leu". It matches the Rfam family "tRNA". From Rfam's summary of the family: Transfer RNA (tRNA) molecules are approximately 80 nucleotides in length. Their secondary structure includes four short double-helical elements and three loops (D, anti-codon, and T loops). The record is from RNAcentral. Lineage: Bacteria; Pseudomonadati; Planctomycetota.
GGGCGAGUGGCGGAAGGGCAGACGCUGGGGACUUAAAAUCCCCUGAGGGCAACCUCAUCCGGGUUCGAUCCCCGGCUCGCCCACCA